AAGUCCUAGCGAACAGAUAAGGAGCUUGCUCCUUUGAAGUUAGCGGCGGACGGGUGAGUAACACGUGGGUAACCUACCUAUAAGACUGGGAUAACUUCGGGAAACCGGAGCUAAUACCGGAUAACAUUUAGAACCGCAUGGUUCUAAAGUGAAAGAUGGUUUUGCUAUCACUUAUAGAUGGACCCGCGCCGUAUUAGCUAGUUGGUAAGGUAACGGCUUACCAAGGCGACGAUACGUAGCCGACCUGAGAGGGUGAUCGGCCACACUGGAACUGAGACACGGUCCAGACUCCUACGGGAGGCAGCAGUAGGGAAUCUUCCGCAAUGGGCGAAAGCCUGACGGAGCAACGCCGCGUGAGUGAUGAAGGGUUUCGGCUCGUAAAACUCUGUUAUUAGGGAAGAACAAAUGUGUAAGUAACUGUGCACAUCUUGACGGUACCUAAUCAGAAAGCCACGGCUAACUACGUGCCAGCAGCCGCGGUAAUACGUAGGUGGCAAGCGUUAUCCGGAAUUAUUGGGCGUAAAGCGCGCGUAGGCGGUUUCUUAAGUCUGAUGUGAAAGCCCACGGCUCAACCCGUGGAGGGUCAUUGGAAACUGGGAAACUUGAGUGCAGAAGAGGAAAGUGGAAUUCCAUGUGUAGCGGUGAAAUGCGCAGAGAUAUGGAGGAACACCAGUGGCGAAGGCGACUUUCUGGUCUGUAACUGACGCUGAUGUGCGAAAGCGUGCGGAUCAAACAGGAUUAGAUACCCUGGUAGUCCACGCCGUAAACGAUGAGUGCUAAGUGUUAGGGGGUUUCCGCCCCUUAGUGCUGCAGCUAACGCAUUAAGCACUCCGCCUGGGGAGUACGACCGCAAGGUUGAAACUCAAAGGAAUUGACGGGGACCCGCACAAGCGGUGGAGCAUGUGGUUUAAUUCGAAGCAACGCGAAGAACCUUACCAAAUCUUGACAUCCUUUGAAAACUCUAGAGAUAGAGCCUUCCCCUUCGGGGGACAAAGUGACAGGUGGUGCAUGGUUGUCGUCAGCUCGUGUCGUGAGAUGUUGGGUUAAGUCCCGCAACGAGCGCAACCCUUAAGCUUAGUUGCCAUCAUUAAGUUGGGCACUCUAGGUUGACUGCCGGUGACAAACCGGAGGAAGGUGGGGAUGACGUCAAAUCAUCAUGCCCCUUAUGAUUUGGGCUACACACGUGCUACAAUGGACAAUACAAAGGGCAGCUAAACCGCGAGGUCAUGCAAAUCCCAUAAAGUUGUUCUCAGUUCGGAUUGUAGUCUGCAACUCGACUACAUGAAGCUGGAAUCGCUAGUAAUCGUAGAUCAGCAUGCUACGGUGAAUACGUUCCCGGGUCUUGUACACACCGCCCGUCACACCACGAGAGUUUGUAACACCCGAAGCCGGUGGAGUAACCAUGUUAAGA
This 1411-nucleotide ribosomal RNA is filed under the name Staphylococcus xylosus. RNAcentral's name for it is "bacterial SSU rRNA". It matches the Rfam family "Bacterial small subunit ribosomal RNA". Lineage: Bacteria; Bacillati; Bacillota; Bacilli; Caryophanales; Staphylococcaceae. The record is from RNAcentral.